RNAcentral lists this ribosomal RNA (2924 nucleotides) under Salmonella enterica subsp. enterica serovar Enteritidis. Its description in RNAcentral is "bacterial LSU rRNA". It matches the Rfam family "Bacterial large subunit ribosomal RNA". Lineage: Bacteria; Pseudomonadati; Pseudomonadota; Gammaproteobacteria; Enterobacterales; Enterobacteriaceae. The record is from RNAcentral.
GGGUUGUGAGGUUAAGCGACUAAGCGUACACGGUGGAUGCCCUGGCAGUCAGAGGCGAUGAAGGGCGUGCUAAUCUGCGAUAAGCGCCGGUAAGGUGAUAUGAACCGUUAUAACCGGCGAUACCCGAAUGGGGAAACCCAGUGUGAUUCGUCACACUAUCAUUAACUGAAUCCAUAGGUUAAUGAGGCGAACCGGGGGAACUGAAACAUCUAAGUACCCCGAGGAAAAGAAAUCAACCGAGAUUCCCCCAGUAGCGGCGAGCGAACGGGGAGGAGCCCAGAGCCUGAAUCAGCAUGUGUGUUAGUGGAAGCGUCUGGAAAGGCGCGCGAUACAGGGUGACAGCCCCGUACACAAAAGCGCAUGUGCUGUGAGCUCGAUGAGUAGGGCGGGACACGUGGUAUCCUGUCUGAAUAUGGGGGACCAUCCUCCAAGGCUAAAUACUCCUGACUGACCGAUAGUGAACCAGUACCGUGAGGGAAAGGCGAAAAGAACCCCGGCGAGGGGAGUGAAAAAGAACCUGAAACCGUGUACGUACAAGCAGUGGGAGCACCCUUUGGGUGUGACUGCGUACCUUUUGUAUAAUGGGUCAGCGACUUAUAUUCUGUAGCAAGGUUAACCGAAUAGGGGAGCCGGAGGGAAACCGAGUCUUAACCGGGCGUUAAGUUGCAGGGUAUAGACCCGAAACCCGGUGAUCUAGCCAUGGGCAGGUUGAAGGUUGGGUAACACUAACUGGAGGACCGAACCGACUAAUGUUGAAAAAUUAGCGGAUGACCUGUGGCUGGGGGUGAAAGGCCAAUCAAACCGGGAGAUAGCUGGUUCUCCCCGAAAGCUAUUUAGGUAGCGCCUCGUGAAUUCAUCUCCGGGGGUAGAGCACUGUUUCGGCUAGGGGGCCAUCCCGGCUUACCAACCCGAUGCAAACUGCGAAUACCGGAGAAUGUUAUCACGGGAGACACACGGCGGGUGCUAACGUCCGUCGUGAAGAGGGAAACAACCCAGACCGCCAGCUAAGGUCCCAAAGUCAUGGUUAAGUGGGAAACGAUGUGGGAAGGCCCAGACAGCCAGGAUGUUGGCUUAGAAGCAGCCAUCAUUUAAAGAAAGCGUAAUAGCUCACUGGUCGAGUCGGCCUGCGCGGAAGAUGUAACGGGGCUAAACCAUGCACCGAAGCUGCGGCAGCGACACUGUGUGUUGUUGGGUAGGGGAGCGUUCUGUAAGCCUGCGAAGGUGGCCUGUGAGGGUUGCUGGAGGUAUCAGAAGUGCGAAUGCUGACAUAAGUAACGAUAAAGCGGGUGAAAAGCCCGCUCGCCGGAAGACCAAGGGUUCCUGUCCAACGUUAAUCGGGGCAGGGUGAGUCGACCCCUAAGGCGAGGCCGAAAGGCGUAGUCGAUGGGAAACGGGUUAAUAUUCCCGUACUUGGUGUUACUGCGAAGGGGGGACGGAGAAGGCUAUGUUGGCCGGGCGACGGUUGUCCCGGUUUAAGCGUGUAGGUGUGUGUUCCAGGUAAAUCCGGUUCACUUUAACACUGAGGCGUGACGACGAGGCACUACGGUGCUGAAGCAACAAAUGCCCUGCUUCCAGGAAAAGCCUCUAAGCAUCAGGUAACAUCAAAUCGUACCCCAAACCGACACAGGUGGUCAGGUAGAGAAUACCAAGGCGCUUGAGAGAACUCGGGUGAAGGAACUAGGCAAAAUGGUGCCGUAACUUCGGGAGAAGGCACGCUGACACGUAGGUGAAGUGAUUUACUCAUGGAGCUGAAGUCAGUCGAAGAUACCAGCUGGCUGCAACUGUUUAUUAAAAACACAGCACUGUGCAAACACGAAAGUGGACGUAUACGGUGUGACGCCUGCCCGGUGCCGGAAGGUUAAUUGAUGGGGUCAGCGCAAGCGAAGCUCCUGAUCGAAGCCCCGGUAAACGGCGGCCGUAACUAUAACGGUCCUAAGGUAGCGAAAUUCCUUGUCGGGUAAGUUCCGACCUGCACGAAUGGCGUAAUGAUGGCCAGGCUGUCUCCACCCGAGACUCAGUGAAAUUGAACUCGCUGUGAAGAUGCAGUGUACCCGCGGCAAGACGGAAAGACCCCGUGAACCUUUACUAUAGCUUGACACUGAACAUUGAGCCUUGAUGUGUAGGAUAGGUGGGAGGCUUUGAAGUGUGGACGCCAGUCUGCAUGGAGCCGACCUUGAAAUACCACCCUUUAAUGUUUGAUGUUCUAACGUGGACCCGUUACCCGGGUUGCGGACAGUGUCUGGUGGGUAGUUUGACUGGGGCGGUCUCCUCCUAAAGAGUAACGGAGGAGCACGAAGGUUGGCUAAUCCUGGUCGGACAUCAGGAGGUUAGUGCAAUGGCAUAAGCCAGCUUGACUGCGAGCGUGACGGCGCGAGCAGGUGCGAAAGCAGGUCAUAGUGAUCCGGUGGUUCUGAAUGGAAGGGCCAUCGCUCAACGGAUAAAAGGUACUCCGGGGAUAACAGGCUGAUACCGCCCAAGAGUUCAUAUCGACGGCGGUGUUUGGCACCUCGAUGUCGGCUCAUCACAUCCUGGGGCUGAAGUAGGUCCCAAGGGUAUGGCUGUUCGCCAUUUAAAGUGGUACGCGAGCUGGGUUUAGAACGUCGUGAGACAGUUCGGUCCCUAUCUGCCGUGGGCGCUGGAGAACUGAGGGGGGCUGCUCCUAGUACGAGAGGACCGGAGUGGACGCAUCACUGGUGUUCGGGUUGUCAUGCCAAUGGCACUGCCCGGUAGCUAAAUGCGGAAGAGAUAAGUGCUGAAAGCAUCUAAGCACGAAACUUGCCCCGAGAUGAGUUCUCCCUGAGACUUAGAGUCUCCUGAAGGAACGUUGAAGACGACGACGUUGAUAGGCCGGGUGUGUAAGCGCAGCGAUGCGUUGAGCUAACCGGUACUAAUGAACCGUGAGGCUUAACCUUACAACGCCGAAG